CCGCGCACAAAGCCACCUUGGUUUUCUGGUUUUCUACCAUGCUUAAUGCUUCGCACCACGUGCCCAUCAGCCCACUUCUUUGCUGCGCAUGGGUCAGCUUCACGCCCAAAAACUCAACUCUCAUUUCCACGCGCCUGCUUCAAAGCCAUUCACGUGCACACCCGCUUAAAGCUUUGAUCCACUUGCCGCGUUUCCUCUGCAUGGUCCACCAUGGACCGCAUGAAGGUCGACCACGU
Molecule: long non-coding RNA, 236 nt
Filed under: Elaeis guineensis (African oil palm)
Lineage: Eukaryota; Viridiplantae; Streptophyta; Magnoliopsida; Arecales; Arecaceae
Description: long non-coding RNA (EGUI_LNC043104)
Source: RNAcentral